AAACCCUCCCGUUUUAGAGCCUCUCUUCAGACAGACAGCCCCGAACGGGUAGCCACCGGAAGAGAAAGGUCUGCCGGCUGAAGGAGAGCCAAGAGGGGGCCAGGCUGGCCUCCAGUGGGAGGGAGUUCCACAGUCUGUGUGCAGCCACCGAAAAGGCCCUCUCCCUUGUCCCCCACCAAGGGCACCUGAUGAAGGUGGUGGGACUGAGAGCAAGGCCUCCCUUAAGGAUCUUAGCACUCGAGGAGGCUCAUAGAGGGAGACGCGGUCCUUGAGAUCGUUUGGAUCCUGGCCGUUUAGGGCUUUACAGGUUAGAACCAGCCCUUUGGAUUGUGCCCGGAAACGAAUCGGCAGCCUGUGGAAAAUCCCAUUUUCUCUCCAACAGAUUUCUCCGCCUCUGGGAUUCUUCCGGACGGUAGCCAGUUUGACCUGUCUUGGGAAACAAGCGAGAGCUCAUCAUCCUUCCAAGACAGCGGGACAAAUGAUGAGUUCUUACCUUCGCUGGCACCACCUCCUCCUUCGCCGCCACCGCCUUCUCCUCCUCCUGCCAGAGCGCCUCCUUCACCGAUUAUCAUCCCCCGCUUAUCCCUCGAAGUCGGUAGGAGCGAACUGGACGAUCAGUUGGACGAAGCAGAGAGGGCCAUCAAGGAGCUGGUGACCUACUGGGAGCACUGGUCUGAAGCAGACAGCGAUGAUGUACACCAAGAGACGAACAAGACCCGUAAGUGAUGUCCCGGAAGACGGACAACAUGAAAGCCCCACCCUGCUUCUUCCAGUGCUGGCUGGGAAAUGGGAUGCCUUUACAACUCCUUUUUUAAAUGGAUCUCCAAUCUCUUAGUGUGAACAAAUUCCAGCUGCGGAAGGCUCAACAGAGCCUCCCUAGUAGGAGCAGUCUACCUCUGAAUACAGUGGUGCCUCGCUUUACGAUUGCCCCAUUAUGACGAAUCCGCUUUAUGAUGUUUUCGCUUAUGGCGAUUUUCCUCGAACGGAUUAUCGUCGUUAAGCGAGGCACCACUGUAGAAGGCUACUAGAGGGUGGCAGCUGAGAAGGGCUCUUGUUGAGCCCUCUUGCCCUGAUUUUUUUCUCCUCUUUUUAUUCCUCAAGGACCUGUGUUUUUUUCCCCACCCCUCUCACCCUUGUACAGGUGAAUGGCCUCGGGGACAUCCCUUAGACCUGCACGACGAAUACAUCCGCGAGGACCCCGAUUACGACGAGGCUUGCGUGGAAGGAGAAGCUUUACGAGGUGAGGCGGUGGGGGAAGAGUAGCGGAAAUCCAAGCUGUACCUUCAGACCUUUCCCCACAGGUUGGGUGUUUUGGGCUUCCUUGGCCGUGACUCCUUCCUGUCACACAUGUUCGUUCUUUCGAUGUUUAAGCGAGGCAACUCUUGAGAGGAAAGAAAAACACUUUGUUCCCCCAAACUUAGACAGGC
RNAcentral lists this long non-coding RNA (1427 nucleotides) under Pogona vitticeps (central bearded dragon). RNAcentral's name for it is "lncRNA (ENSPVIG00000019839.1)". Lineage: Eukaryota; Metazoa; Chordata; Lepidosauria; Squamata; Agamidae. The record is from RNAcentral.